RNAcentral lists this ribosomal RNA (636 nucleotides) under uncultured bacterium. Its description in RNAcentral is "bacterial SSU rRNA". It matches the Rfam family "Bacterial small subunit ribosomal RNA", at positions 202 to 842 of the family's 1533-position model. The record is from RNAcentral.
UAAAGAAUUUCGGUCAUCGAUGGGGAUGCGUUCCAUUAGCUUGUUGGCGGGGUAACGGCCCACCAAGGCAUCGAUGGAUAGGGGUUCUGAGAGGAAGGUCCCCCACAUUGGAACUGAGACACGGUCCAAACUCCUACGGGAGGCAGCAGUGAGGAAUAUUGGUCAAUGGGCGCUAGCCUGAACCAGCCAAGUAGCGUGAAGGAUGACUGCCCUAUGGGUUGUAAACUUCUUUUAUAUGGGAAUAAAGUGCAGUACGUAUACUGCUUUGCAUGUACCUUAUGAAUAAGGAUCGGCUAACUCCGUGCCAGCAGCCGCGGUAAUACGGAGGAUCCGAGCGUUAUCCGGAUUUAUUGGGUUUAAAGGGAGCGUAGGCGGGUUGUUAAGUCAGUUGUGAAAGUUUGCGGCUCAACCGUAAAAUUGCAGUUGAUACUGGCAUCCUUGAGUACAGUAGAGGUAGGCGGAAUUCGUGGUGUAGCGGUGAAAUGCUUAGAUAUCACGAAGAACUCCGAUUGCGAAGGCAGCCUGCUGGACUGUAACUGACGCUGAUGCUCGAAAGUGUGGGUAUCAAACAGGAUUAGAUACCCUGGUAGUCCACACAGUAAACGAUGAAUACUCGCUGUUUGCGAUAUACAGUAA